Camellia sinensis is the source of this 740-nucleotide non-coding RNA. The record is from RefSeq and is a predicted model, not a curated record. Lineage: Eukaryota; Viridiplantae; Streptophyta; Magnoliopsida; Ericales; Theaceae.
CUUUGUCCUUUUUAUUCAUUUUCUCUGCAAUUGCUAUUAGCAUCAAGCCACUUUUUUGCUAGGCUGUGUGCAAGGUGGUGACCAAAUCUUCUGAAGAUGUCAAGCAGAGUAUAAGAAGAGCUCGCCAGAAGGCAUUGGAUACGAUGAAGAAAGCAGGUUCAAGUUUCCCAAAAGAUGAUGCCAAAAGAUUGGAGAAAGAAGUUGAUGAAUUGACUAAGAAGUUUAUCAAGUCGGCAGAGGAUAUGUGCAAGGUGAAGGAAAAGGAGAUUGCUGCAGGCUGAGUGGUGGCUUGUCGGUAUUCCAAAUAUCUCCGUUAGUACCGUUUUGUUUUCAUUUUGAAGGCUUUUACACCUCAAGUUCCAUAGUUGAGAAUUUUUAAGUUCUCAUCGUUGUUUGUAGACCUUAGAAUAAUGUAGUUAAGCAAUUUUAGGGAUUAGAAACCACCAUGAGCAAGGCGAGUUCUGAGAAUGACAAGAAGAUUUAAUGUGGGAAAAAGAACCGUCACAAUUCCAUCUUGACAAUAGCUUUGACAUGAUAAUGGGAAUUCAAGGCCUCCUUAUUCCGAGGUAACAAUUGGAAGUGUAUUCAUUGCGUGUCUUGUGAUGUUUGAAACUGAAAAUGAUAAAUGUUUCAACCCUUUUGGUAAAGAACCAAAUGUAGUUAAACUAGGGGGAAAGAAAUGAUCUAGUUUGAAUUCUACCCAUUUCAUUAAAUCAUAUUGGGAGGCCUCAUUAUGACUA